GCUGGUGCCACUUGAACCAAGUCCAGAUGCACUGCCCAAAAUAACAUCCCUCGUCUGGCCAGCAGUGCAGUGGAGACUGAGUUCUGAAGCAGGCCUUUGUGAGCUUCCAAUUGUGGACAAGAUAAGGACCAUUGCCCAGGCUGUCUAUGGAGCCAAAGAUAUCGAACUCUGUCCUGAGGCACAAGUCAAAAUAGAUCGUUACACUCAGCAGGGUUUUGGAAAUUUGCCCAUCUGCAUGGCAAAGACCGAUCUUUCUCUGUCUCACCAACCUGACAAAAAAGGUGUGCCAAGGGACUUCAUCUUACCUAUCAGUGAUGUCCGGGCCAGCAUAGGUGCUGGGUUCAUUUACCCUUUGGUCGGAACGGUGCACCACUGACAUCAUGGCUCGGCUGGACUCUGGAAAGCAGGAAAUUGCUGGAGCAUGUUUGGGCAUCAAUGAUGUCACCCGCUACGAAUGCCGGGUGGGGUUACUGGACUGAGGGCCAUGAAAAAAGAAAGCUGCGGCCCUGCCCCGUGGACUCACUGCCAUUCUGUUCUUUCUCACGUUUCAGUUCAGCUCACUUUGUUUUCCGUCCCCCUCCCUCUACUGUAAAAGUAUGUACUCAUUGUUUCAUUUCCUGCUGGAUCUGAUUCAGGUCAGUGAUGAAGUUCUUUGCGAGCUCAGUGGGGAGGCGUUUCCUCCCUUUCAUACCGGCCCUGCUUAGGGAUGCAUGGUUGGUUAUAUACUUGCUUCACUCGGUUAGGCAUGGAGGAGAAUUCAUUCAGACCUCAUAGGUUUAAAUCAAAUGCAUGACCCUUCACAUUUUCCAGAGAUUUAGACAGUUACAGUGAGACAAUUAAACAUUCACCCCCCAAGCUGCACUUGGAGAUGUGUAAGCAGUAAUGUAGUCAUGCGCUCCCCAUGAUAUGAGAGUGUGCAGAAUGCCACUCCCCACAGCAGGUCCACCAGGACCUCCUCAGGGAGCAUCUUGCCUACAAAAUCACCCAUCCCUUUUCCCCCACUUUCUUCACUUUCCCUACGUUUCCACUCCCACACCCACAAAUAAACAAAGAAACUUUGAGCUUAUUUUACAAAAGUCUUUGAAAUGGCCCUCCUCUCUCCGAUGCUCCUGGGCCCUGGUUUGGCCCCAUCUGUGCAGUCUCUCUGAUGAGUGUGAAAUAAGCCAGGUUUGGCUCAUGCUCUCCCUGUGAGCUUGCUCUCCCCGUGAGCCUGCCCUCUCCAUCUGGCCUCACUUUGUUUGUGUCCCUGGGUCCUUUGUCUCUGAUCCUGGGAUCCUGGUGGUUUCCUCCUCCCCGCCCAGCUUGGGUCCUUUUCCCCAGGGUUCUUCCCUAUCUCUACAUCAGAAUUUCCUGCUUUCUCCCAAAUAUGCAUUUCCCUGGCCCAGGCAUCCAUUGCUUCCUCUCAUCGUGAGGUCCCUGCAGCAGACUGCCAAUGGUGUUGUGGCCAUGCCUUCCUCCACAACCCAGGGAAAGCUACAUGUGUGUCUGUCCCAUAGGGAAGGAGUCAUCCCUGUCUCUUCAGUGUGGCAUGUUCAGGAGGAAGGAAAGUAACCAGCGUCAUUCUCAACUUCCGGAAACUGUUUAUCAUAUUGACAAGAAGAAGAAAGCUUUGCGACUCAUGAGAAUGAUGUUUUCCUCUCUGGUACAUAAGGUUAUGUAGGUCCAAUCCAUUGUGUAGAAGAUCUUUUCUCCCUUAAUGGGAUGUACACUUAUUUUUAGCACAAGUAUAAAACUACUUUAAAUGAAGUCAGCCUCAGCCAGGGAAAUAUGCUGAGUAAUAAUGUUGCCAGGUACUAUACCACUGAGUUGAGUUUGCAAUUCACUGCUAUUAAUCCCUGCAUGUUAGUUCUGAAUUUUUACUCUUUGCAUACGUAGAAAAAAUGGUGUUUCUCUUCAGAGUCAAGGAGGGAAAAAAGAAAAGUUAAAAGACACUUAUAACACUUUUGUGUCCACCCCUAAAAUCAGCAUAUUGAUCUACUAUUUUUCUAGGUAUUGAUGGAAUAUUGACUCAUAUACUUUCAUACAACUG
This is a long non-coding RNA of Homo sapiens (human), 2029 nucleotides long. NCBI's taxonomy places the organism in Eukaryota, Metazoa, Chordata, Mammalia, Primates, Hominidae. The record is from Ensembl.